Molecule: unclassified non-coding RNA, 421 nt
Filed under: soil metagenome
Description: partial contains 5.8S ribosomal RNA, internal transcribed spacer 2, and large subunit ribosomal RNA
Rfam family: 5.8S ribosomal RNA (bases 1-120)
Source: RNAcentral
GAUGAAGAACGCAGCGAAAUGCGAUACGUAAUGUGAAUUGCAGAAUUCAGUGAAUCAUCGAAUCUUUGAACGCAUAUUGCGCUCUUUGGUAUUCCGAAGAGCAUGCUUGUUUGAGUAUCAGUAAACACCUCAACCUCUUCUUGAUUUUUCAAAAGGAGGGUGGACUUGAGCUAUCCCAACAACCUUUACCGGUCGGCGGGCGGCUUGAAAUGCAGGUGCAGCUGGACUUUUAUCUGAGCUAAAAGCAUAUCUAUUUAGUCCUCGUCAAACAGGAUUAUUACUUUUGCUGCAGCUAACAUAAAGGAUAAUUGUCCUCUUUGCUGACUGAUGCAGGAUUUUACGACACUUUAUGUGUUGUUCAACUCGAUCUCAAAUCAAGUAAGACUACCCGCUGAACUUAAGCAUAUCAAUGAGCGGAGGA